This 253-nucleotide ribosomal RNA is filed under the name uncultured bacterium. RNAcentral describes it as "partial 16S ribosomal RNA". It matches the Rfam family "Bacterial small subunit ribosomal RNA", at positions 524 to 776 of the family's 1533-position model. The record is from RNAcentral.
GACGUAGGGCGCGAGCGUUGUCCGGAUUUAUUGGGCGUAAAGAGCUCGUAGGCGGUUUGUUGCGUCUAUCGUGAAAACCUGCAGCUUAACUGUGGGCUUGCGGUGGAUACGGGCAGACUUGAGUUCGGUAGGGGAGACUGGAAUUCCUGGUGUAGCGGUGAAAUGCGCAGAUAUCAGGAGGAACACCGGUGGCGAAGGCGGGUCUCUGGGCCGAUAUUGACGCUGAGGAGCGAAAGCGUGGGGAGCGAACAGG